RNAcentral lists this transfer RNA (84 nucleotides) under Phycisphaerae bacterium. Its description in RNAcentral is "tRNA-Leu". It matches the Rfam family "tRNA". Rfam says of the family: Transfer RNA (tRNA) molecules are approximately 80 nucleotides in length. Their secondary structure includes four short double-helical elements and three loops (D, anti-codon, and T loops). Further hydrogen bonds mediate the characteristic L-shaped molecular structure. tRNAs have two regions of fundamental functional importance: the anti-codon, which is responsible for specific mRNA codon recognition, and the 3' end, to which the tRNAs corresponding amino acid is attached (by aminoacyl-tRNA synthetases). tRNAs cope with the degeneracy of the genetic code in two manners: having more than one tRNA (with a specific anti-codon) for a particular amino acid; and 'wobble' base-pairing, i.e. permitting non-standard base-pairing at the 3rd anti-codon position. The record is from RNAcentral. Lineage: Bacteria; Pseudomonadati; Planctomycetota; Phycisphaerae.
GCCGAAGUGGCGGAACCGGCAGACGCGCGGGUUUCAAAAACCCGUCCCCGUAAGGGGGUGAGGGUUCGAGUCCCUCCUUCGGCA